GAGCCCGUCCGGAUAAACAAGAACUGCUAACUCAUGAUUCCAUGGUUCAACUCCAUGGCUAGCUCA
This 66-nucleotide transfer RNA is filed under the name Synapturanus rabus (Vaupes disc frog). RNAcentral describes it as "tRNA-Ser". The record is from RNAcentral. Lineage: Eukaryota; Metazoa; Chordata; Amphibia; Anura; Microhylidae.